This 502-nucleotide ribosomal RNA is filed under the name uncultured bacterium. RNAcentral describes it as "partial 16S ribosomal RNA". It matches the Rfam family "Bacterial small subunit ribosomal RNA", at positions 28 to 507 of the family's 1533-position model. The record is from RNAcentral.
GACGAACGCUGGCGGCGUGCUUAACACAUGCAAGUCGAACGGUGAAGGGGUCUGCUUUUGUGGGCCCUGGAUGAGUGGCGAACGGGUGAGUAACACGUGAGUAACCUGCCCCCUUCUUCUGGAUAACCGCAUGAAAGUGUGGCUAAUACGGGAUAUUCUGGGUCUGUCGCAUGAUGGGUCUGGGAAAGAUUGCGCCUUUGGGUGUUUUUGGUGGGGGAUGGGCUCGCGGCCUAUCAGCUUGUUGGUGGGGUGAUGGCCUACCAAGGCGGUGACGGGUAGCCGGCCUGGGAGGGUGGACGGUCACACUGGGACUGAGACACGGCCCAGACUCCUACGGGAGGCAGCAGUGGGGAAUAUUGCACAAUGGGCGCAAGCCUGAUGCAGCGACGCCGCGUGAGGGAUGGAGGCCUUCGGGUUGUAAACCUCUUUCGCCAGUGAAGCAGGCCUGCUCCUUGUGGGUGGGUUGACGGUAGCUGGAGAAGAAGCGCCGGCUAACUACGUG